UUGCUUUGGCAGCACAUAUACUAAACUUGGAAUGAUACAGAGAAGAUUAGCAUGGCCCAUGUUCAAGGACGACAUGCAAAUUCUUGAAGCAUUCCAUUUUUUU
Molecule: small nuclear RNA, 103 nt
Organism: Monodelphis domestica (gray short-tailed opossum)
Lineage: Eukaryota; Metazoa; Chordata; Mammalia; Didelphimorphia; Didelphidae
Source: Ensembl